CAUGCAUGUGUCCACGGUACAACAAGAAACGGGAACUUCUCAUCUCUCUAUUCUUCUUCUCAAUCUCACGACUCGAUUCACGUCAAAGAAUAAUGUGAUGUGUCGAAGCAAGACGUGAAUUUGAACGUGAAGUCUUAUUAUUCAGCUGGCGAAAAUCUUUUUUAAUGGUGUUGGAACCCACUUUCAUGUAUGAGUCCCUGUAAAGAACCAAGAUGACCAGUUUUGGAGUGAAGUGGAAAGUCCAUAUGGCCGUAAGCAGCAAUGAAGUGCGCAGUCUUAACGCUCCCUUAGUGGCCAUGUCCCUGACAACUACUAACGAGAAGGGGCAAAAAGAAACCAAAGUUGUGGAAAUGAAACUGGAACAGUUUAGGAGCAUGCUGAGCUCUCUUGAAGAAAUUCAAACUGAGAUGGAGAAUGCAAAGCUGGUUCAUUGACAGUCACUUUCAAGAAACAUGUUGCCCCCGGUCGUUAUUUUAACUCCUAUUUUACUCAAGUUUUUUUUACUAUCCCAGCCAUUUUAAUGCCAUAUUCUAAAAUAUGAUGUCUUGUGUGCAAAAGGCUUUGCAUUGAUGUUGAGUAAAUGUAGUAGCUGCAUUUUAUGUUUGUGAGUGUGUGUGUGUGUGUGUGUGUGUGUGUGUGUGUGUGCGUGUGUUUGAGAGAGGCUGCACGUUUAUUCAUCUUGUGGCAUUUAUUGUCAAUGAAUGUGAAAGUUUUUGUAAAAAAAAAAAAAGUACUAUUAAGCUGUCGUAAAGUUUUUAUACCAAAGUACCAAAAUGAGUGGAAUGCACGGUAUAUGAUGUGACAGUACGUUAUUUUUGGUCUUUUUGUUUUUGCCUAAUAGUUUUUGCUGUAGUUGACCCAGUUUCUGUUCUCCUGUCGUAGCGGAAUGUAAAGGAAAAGUACCGGUGAUGAUAACAGUCUUUAGUAGACAUUCGGGUUUGAUUUGCUCCUUCUUUCUUACCAGACUUCUAUUAGCCUUACCCCUUUUCUUUCUUUCUUUCUUUCUUUCUUUCUUUCUUCGUAGGCUAUUCUCUAGUACAGCAUCUCUAAUCUUCAGUACUUGUAAAAACCUGUUUGUGUUGCAAGUGAGGUAGAAGCUAAUACUAAAACCUGAAGAAUGAAAACAUUUAAUUGUAGUACAAUGCGUGUGAAGCACUCAAAAGGAAGUUCUCACCUAAACUUCUGUUUUGAGUGCUUAACAUACUAUUUGUUUAGUAUUCAUUUAUUUAUUUAUUUAUUCUUCUAAUUUUUUUCUUCCGUGGAAGAUAUUAUCCUGAUUUCAACCAGCUGUCAAUCAAUACUCAGCAGUUCCAGCUGCCAUUUCAUUUUCAUAAAUCUAAAAUAUGACAUAUAAUAUUCAUAGAGUUCUGGGAUGCUGAUCAAUAGCAAUUUACUUUUUAUGUGUGUGCGUUUGCACUAAUGAUGACUGCAAGAUUAUUAGUAAUAUUAGUUUUCUUGAACAAUUUUUGUCUUGAAUAUUAUGUUGUGUAUCAAGUAGUGGGUUAAGUUGAUUCUGUCCAGCAGUAGGACUUUCCAAACUAUUGUAAAGAAUGCAGUUUUUUCACAGAUAGGAAUGUUGUUGUCAAUGAAAUUGAGAUUUAUAAGGGACUAGGACAAAAUGAGUCUGUUGUCACAUUUUCAUUUAUGAUUUUAUGUGAAGAAUCUUUUCAAUCCUGACAAAUUCGUGUAAAAGUAGAUUGAUUAGUUUGACCUCUUUGGUUCCACACCUCGGGUGACUGACGUUAAUAAAGAGUCCCUAAAGGACUGCUUAGGGAAAAGCAAGGCAGACAAAGAAAAACCAGUCCACGGAGUUCAUGUUUUGAAUUUUUAAAAAACUGUUUAGUGAUUAGAAUAGAGAAAAGAAAUGGAAGAGUUUACGUAUUUUGUCAAAAAGGGGCACCGAUAAAUUUUACUUCAGCUUCAAAUUUUAGCCAGUAUAUCUACAACUGAAUGUGACAAAUUACUCUUUUUAUCAUCCGGUCUCAGAUGUUUUUGGAGAAAUAUUACUCACGAGAAUAUGAAAAGAAUUGCCUAUUUAAUUUAUUUCAGAAAUGUUUAUUAUUUGGAACUCAGACAUAUAUAUGGUAAGUUUGAUUUGGGUCCAUUAUUAGCUUCAUUGGUAUCAUGCUAGACUGUGAAGAGGAUGGCACUGGUUUGAAUCCCCAGUUGGGCAUUUUGAACUUGAUUUUUUUGGGGAGAGCUUUUUAACACUUUGCAUCACAUCUCGCCUCCGAUCAGCGGUAUUACCCGCCCCUUAAAUAACCUAUUAGUGUUGAUAGGGAUGUUAAGCCUAUACCAUUUUUUUCAGCGAUAUUUACCACUCAGUUUCUUUCGAUUUCCCCCCAAAUGCCUUUUGCCUUUGAUGGCAAGGGUUUUUACUAUAAUAUAUGAGCCUUGUGAUGGAAAAGUGUGAAGGCUCUGUGCCCAUUUUGUUUGAUCCUAUCGGAGAUGGAUGUAAAGUUCACAGGUCACGGCUCUUAAAUGAUCUUACAGUGUGGUAAGAGGCUUUAAACCUAUAGUACAAUGUCCAAUGCAUUUUGAUAGGGUUGAGGUACACACCCACUGUUCAUGUAAAGAUCUGACUUUAUGAUGUGUAGGCAAAUUUCCAGCUGUACCGGUAUCUUAUAAUAUUGUCAUUCAUUUUUCUCUCGAUUUCACAUUCAAGACAAGGCUGCAUGUAGUCAGGAUACGUGGACCAGAAAGCUUUACAAUGGAGUCAGCUUAAACUGAAAUCUAAGGGUCUUCCUGAUUUUCUUUUGUUUAGCUGGGUAUUCGUUUUGAGAGGCUGCUCAAAUAGAAAAAAGAAUCUCUGUUAGUUUCUUUUCUUUCAGUUUACAGCUGUUUUUUGGAUUAAUCGUGUUUAGUUUAAGAGGACUCUACCAUACAAAGGGCCAGUACUUUCAGUAUUUGCAAAUGUCGGUUGAAUGUUUUUCCUGUUGUAUCCAUACUGGAUAUUAUGUGAAGGCUGGCAGUACGCUACUGCAAAAGUAGAUACAUACUAUAAUAUGAUAUAAGCAAUCGGGAUUGAGGAGGUAAUAUAAAGGCUAUCUGUAUGCUACUGCUAAGGUAGAUAUAAGCCUUGGGGAUUGAGGAGGUGAAGUAUCUUAUUUAAGCCGUUCGUGUGAGUCAUUGUGAAGUUAUGUGGGCCUUUUUUUUUUCUUUUUUUUUUUUUUGAAGGAUGGCUUUCAAUGUUCAUUUUAACUUUUCAAGUCAUAUGGAUCUCAUCUUUUUUUUAUUUGUUGUAUUCAAGAUCUGGUAAUUAUCAACUAACCUUUGAGUGAUUUAAAAAAAACAGUCAGUGUGGAUAGAAAUGAUUAGGAAGAAGUGAUCUGAUUGUCCAUGAUCUAUUGUCCACGUGGCUAUUUUUUAUUCCUAUCACUAAGUGAUAGACUUUUCCACUCCAGUUGUACCGACCUUUUUCUUUUUCCCUUCAGUAACAAAUAUGAUUAGGAAAAGGGAACUUUAUAUUGUAGCUUGCUUACAAUAAAAUUUGAAAAAAAA
Molecule: long non-coding RNA, 3501 nt
Organism: Aplysia californica (California sea hare)
Lineage: Eukaryota; Metazoa; Mollusca; Gastropoda; Aplysiida; Aplysiidae
Exons: 3
Source: RefSeq, a predicted model, not a curated record